Molecule: transfer RNA, 66 nt
Filed under: human gut metagenome
Rfam family: tRNA
About the family: Transfer RNA (tRNA) molecules are approximately 80 nucleotides in length.
Source: RNAcentral
GAUGUCGCCAAGUGGUUAAGGCACAGGACUUUGACUCCUGCAUUCGUGGGUUCAAAUCCCGCCAUC